This 2903-nucleotide ribosomal RNA is filed under the name Escherichia coli. Its description in RNAcentral is "23S ribosomal RNA". It matches the Rfam family "Bacterial large subunit ribosomal RNA". The record is from RNAcentral. RNAcentral also lists the same sequence under 1 other name. Lineage: Bacteria; Pseudomonadati; Pseudomonadota; Gammaproteobacteria; Enterobacterales; Enterobacteriaceae.
GGUUAAGCGACUAAGCGUACACGGUGGAUGCCCUGGCAGUCAGAGGCGAUGAAGGACGUGCUAAUCUGCGAUAAGCGUCGGUAAGGUGAUAUGAACCGUUAUAACCGGCGAUUUCCGAAUGGGGAAACCCAGUGUGUUUCGACACACUAUCAUUAACUGAAUCCAUAGGUUAAUGAGGCGAACCGGGGGAACUGAAACAUCUAAGUACCCCGAGGAAAAGAAAUCAACCGAGAUUCCCCCAGUAGCGGCGAGCGAACGGGGAGGAGCCCAGAGCCUGAAUCAGUGUGUGUGUUAGUGGAAGCGUCUGGAAAGGCGCGCGAUACAGGGUGACAGCCCCGUACACAAAAAUGCACAUACUGUGAGCUCGAUGAGUAGGGCGGGACACGUGGUAUCCUGUCUGAAUAUGGGGGGACCAUCCUCCAAGGCUAAAUACUCCUGACUGACCGAUAGUGAACCAGUACCGUGAGGGAAAGGCGAAAAGAACCCCGGCGAGGGGAGUGAAAAAGAACCUGAAACCGUGUACGUACAAGCAGUGGGAGCCUCUUUUAUGGGGUGACUGCGUACCUUUUGUAUAAUGGGUCAGCGACUUAUAUUCUGUAGCAAGGUUAACCGAAUAGGGGAGCCGAAGGGAAACCGAGUCUUAACCGGGCGUUAAGUUGCAGGGUAUAGACCCGAAACCCGGUGAUCUAGCCAUGGGCAGGUUGAAGGUUGGGUAACACUAACUGGAGGACCGAACCGACUAAUGUUGAAAAAUUAGCGGAUGACUUGUGGCUGGGGGUGAAAGGCCAAUCAAACCGGGAGAUAGCUGGUUCUCCCCGAAAGCUAUUUAGGUAGCGCCUCGUGAAUUCAUCUCCGGGGGUAGAGCACUGUUUCGGCAAGGGGGUCAUCCCGACUUACCAACCCGAUGCAAACUGCGAAUACCGGAGAAUGUUAUCACGGGAGACACACGGCGGGUGCUAACGUCCGUCGUGAAGAGGGAAACAACCCAGACCGCCAGCUAAGGUCCCAAAGUCAUGGUUAAGUGGGAAACGAUGUGGGAAGGCCCAGACAGCCAGGAUGUUGGCUUAGAAGCAGCCAUCAUUUAAAGAAAGCGUAAUAGCUCACUGGUCGAGUCGGCCUGCGCGGAAGAUGUAACGGGGCUAAACCAUGCACCGAAGCUGCGGCAGCGACACUGUGUGUUGUUGGGUAGGGGAGCGUUCUGUAAGCCUGUGAAGGUGUACUGUGAGGUAUGCUGGAGGUAUCAGAAGUGCGAAUGCUGACAUAAGUAACGAUAAAGCGGGUGAAAAGCCCGCUCGCCGGAAGACCAAGGGUUCCUGUCCAACGUUAAUCGGGGCAGGGUGAGUCGACCCCUAAGGCGAGGCCGAAAGGCGUAGUCGAUGGGAAACAGGUUAAUAUUCCUGUACUUGGUGUUACUGCGAAGGGGGGACGGAGAAGGCUAUGUUGGCCGGGCGACGGUUGUCCCGGUUUAAGCGUGUAGGCUGGUUUUCCAGGCAAAUCCGGAAAAUCAAGGCUGAGGCGUGAUGACGAGGCACUACGGUGCUGAAGCAACAAAUGCCCUGCUUCCAGGAAAAGCCUCUAAGCAUCAGGUAACAUCAAAUCGUACCCCAAACCGACACAGGUGGUCAGGUAGAGAAUACCAAGGCGCUUGAGAGAACUCGGGUGAAGGAACUAGGCAAAAUGGUGCCGUAACUUCGGGAGAAGGCACGCUGAUAUGUAGGUGAAGUCCCUCGCGGAUGGAGCUGAAAUCAGUCGAAGAUACCAGCUGGCUGCAACUGUUUAUUAAAAACACAGCACUGUGCAAACACGAAAGUGGACGUAUACGGUGUGACGCCUGCCCGGUGCCGGAAGGUUAAUUGAUGGGGUCAGCGCAAGCGAAGCUCUUGAUCGAAGCCCCGGUAAACGGCGGCCGUAACUAUAACGGUCCUAAGGUAGCGAAAUUCCUUGUCGGGUAAGUUCCGACCUGCACGAAUGGCGUAAUGAUGGCCAGGCUGUCUCCACCCGAGACUCAGUGAAAUUGAACUCGCUGUGAAGAUGCAGUGUACCCGCGGCAAGACGGAAAGACCCCGUGAACCUUUACUAUAGCUUGACACUGAACAUUGAGCCUUGAUGUGUAGGAUAGGUGGGAGGCUUUGAAGUGUGGACGCCAGUCUGCAUGGAGCCGACCUUGAAAUACCACCCUUUAAUGUUUGAUGUUCUAACGUGGACCCGUGAUCCGGGUUGCGGACAGUGUCUGGUGGGUAGUUUGACUGGGGCGGUCUCCUCCUAAAGAGUAACGGAGGAGCACGAAGGUUGGCUAAUCCUGGUCGGACAUCAGGAGGUUAGUGCAAUGGCAUAAGCCAGCUUGACUGCGAGCGUGACGGCGCGAGCAGGUGCGAAAGCAGGUCAUAGUGAUCCGGUGGUUCUGAAUGGAAGGGCCAUCGCUCAACGGAUAAAAGGUACUCCGGGGAUAACAGGCUGAUACCGCCCAAGAGUUCAUAUCGACGGCGGUGUUUGGCACCUCGAUGUCGGCUCAUCACAUCCUGGGGCUGAAGUAGGUCCCAAGGGUAUGGCUGUUCGCCAUUUAAAGUGGUACGCGAGCUGGGUUUAGAACGUCGUGAGACAGUUCGGUCCCUAUCUGCCGUGGGCGCUGGAGAACUGAGGGGGGCUGCUCCUAGUACGAGAGGACCGGAGUGGACGCAUCACUGGUGUUCGGGUUGUCAUGCCAAUGGCACUGCCCGGUAGCUAAAUGCGGAAGAGAUAAGUGCUGAAAGCAUCUAAGCACGAAACUUGCCCCGAGAUGAGUUCUCCCUGACCCUUUAAGGGUCCUGAAGGAACGUUGAAGACGACGACGUUGAUAGGCCGGGUGUGUAAGCGCAGCGAUGCGUUGAGCUAACCGGUACUAAUGAACCGUGAGGCUUAACCUU